Molecule: long non-coding RNA, 354 nt
Filed under: Coffea arabica (coffee)
Lineage: Eukaryota; Viridiplantae; Streptophyta; Magnoliopsida; Gentianales; Rubiaceae
Description: long non-coding RNA (CARA_LNC004630)
Source: RNAcentral
UUCUGUUUUUCUUUUUCUUUUUCUUUUUAAUUUUUCUUAUCCGUUUCCAUUUUUCUUUUUUUCCUCAACACAAUCAAAAUUCUAACGAUUAUUUUCCUGCCUUGCAUAAAUUAACAAAAUUAACAGAAAAAUGAGAUGGACAUAUAAAAAUAGAGGGGGACAAAUCCACCAUUUCCAUUUUAGGUGACAAACAACAAAAUUUUUAGCAUGCACAGUAUAAGAAAACUUGUACUAGUUGGCAUCAUCAAUUGCGUAUAUAGAAUUAUUCUGAAAUAUGACUGAUGACCAAAAUAUAUGCAUGCAUUAUAUGAAAUUGACCUUUGAAGGUGAUGGAAGGACUUAUAGACAAUCUUC